UACCAGCACCCCGAGUGGUCGGGACGAUUAUUGGGCCUAAAGCAUCCGUAGCCGGUCCUACAAGUCUUCCGUUAAAUCCACCUGCUUAACAGAUGGGCUGCGGAAGAUACUAUAGGGCUAGGAGGCGGGAGAGGCAAGCGGUACUCAGUGGGUAGGGGUAAAAUCCUCUGAUCCAUUGAAGACCACCAGUGGCGAAGGCGGCUCACUGGCCCGGUACUGACGCUGAGGUGCGAAAGCGUGGGGAGCAAACAGG
This 253-nucleotide ribosomal RNA is filed under the name uncultured bacterium. RNAcentral describes it as "partial 16S ribosomal RNA". It matches the Rfam family "Archaeal small subunit ribosomal RNA", at positions 474 to 727 of the family's 1478-position model. The record is from RNAcentral.